GUCCAAAGCAAACCUGGGUUUUCGUGUUUAAUUUUGACUGUCCAUUUUAUAUAAAUUUUUUUUAUAAUUCGUAUUUUUAUUGUUGUUGGAUGAUAAAAUAUGAUUAAUAUUUUAUGCGCGACUUAUCUUUUUAAUUUUUUUUAAUUUUUUUAAAUAAGACAGAUGGUCAAAUAUUGGGCACGGAAACCAGGGUUUGUCUUUUU
This is a microRNA precursor of Oryza sativa Japonica Group (Japanese rice), 203 nucleotides long. It matches the Rfam family "MIR812 microRNA precursor family". Lineage: Eukaryota; Viridiplantae; Streptophyta; Magnoliopsida; Poales; Poaceae. The record is from Rfam.